UGGGGAAUUUUGGACAAUGGGCGAAAGCCUGAUCCAGCAAUGCCGCGUGUGUGAAGAAGGCCUUCGGGUUGUAAAGCACUUUUGUCCGGAAAGAAAUCCUUGGCUCUAAUACAGUCGGGGGAUGACGGUACCGGAAGAAUAAGCACCGGCUAACUACGUGCCAGCAGCCGCGGUAAUACGUAGGGUGCAAGCGUUAAUCGGAAUUACUGGGCGUAAAGCGUGCGCAGGCGGUUUGCUAAGACCGAUGUGAAAUCCCCGGGCUCAACCUGGGAACUGCAUUGGUGACUGGCAGGCUAGAGUAUGGCAGAGGGGGGUAGAAUUCCACGUGUAGCAGUGAAAUGCGUAGAGAUGUGGAGGAAUACCGAUGGCGAAGGCAGCCCCCCUGGGGCCAAUACUGACGCUCAUGCACGAAAAGCGUGGGGGAGCAAAACAGGAUUAGAUACCCUGGUAGUCCACGCCCUAAAACGAUGUCAACUAGUUGUUGGGGAUUCAUUUCCUUAGUAACGUAGCUAACGCGUGAAGUUGACCGCCUGGGGAGUACGGUCGCAAGAUUAAAACUUAAAGGAAUUGACGGGGUCAUAGCUGUUUCCU
RNAcentral lists this ribosomal RNA (591 nucleotides) under uncultured bacterium. RNAcentral describes it as "partial 16S ribosomal RNA". It matches the Rfam family "Bacterial small subunit ribosomal RNA", at positions 355 to 1375 of the family's 1533-position model. The record is from RNAcentral.